CGACCUCAGGUCAGGCGGGGCCACC
RNAcentral lists this ribosomal RNA (25 nucleotides) under Tinospora cordifolia. RNAcentral describes it as "partial 28S ribosomal RNA". The record is from RNAcentral. Lineage: Eukaryota; Viridiplantae; Streptophyta; Magnoliopsida; Ranunculales; Menispermaceae.